GGCGGCGUACCCAAGUGGUUUAAGGGAGCGGUUUGCAAAACCGUUAUGCAGCGGUUCGAAUCCGCUCGCCGCCU
Molecule: transfer RNA, 74 nt
Filed under: Candidatus Omnitrophota bacterium
Lineage: Bacteria; Pseudomonadati; Candidatus Omnitrophota
Description: tRNA-Cys
Rfam family: tRNA
About the family: Transfer RNA (tRNA) molecules are approximately 80 nucleotides in length. Their secondary structure includes four short double-helical elements and three loops (D, anti-codon, and T loops). Further hydrogen bonds mediate the characteristic L-shaped molecular structure. tRNAs have two regions of fundamental functional importance: the anti-codon, which is responsible for specific mRNA codon recognition, and the 3' end, to which the tRNAs corresponding amino acid is attached (by aminoacyl-tRNA synthetases). tRNAs cope with the degeneracy of the genetic code in two manners: having more than one tRNA (with a specific anti-codon) for a particular amino acid; and 'wobble' base-pairing, i.e. permitting non-standard base-pairing at the 3rd anti-codon position.
Source: RNAcentral